CCUACGGGAGGCAGCAGUAGGGAAUCUUCCACAAUGGACGAAAGUCUGAUGGAGCAACGCCGCGUGAGCGAUGAAGGCCUUCGGGUCGUAAAGCUCUGUUGUUAGGGAAGAACAAGUAUCGGAGUAACUGCCGGUACCUUGACGGUACCUAACCAGAAAGCCACGGCUAACUACGUGCCAGCAGCCGCGGUAAUACGUAGUGGCAAGCGUUGUCCGGAAUUAUUGGGCGUAAAGCGCGCGCAGGCGGUCCUUUAAGUCUGAUGUGAAAGCCCACGGCUCAACCGUGGAGGGUCAUUGGAAACUGGAGGACUUGAGUACAGAAGAGAAAGUGGAAUUCCACGUGUAGCGGUGAAAUGCGUAGAGAUGUGGAGGAACACCAGUGGCGAAGGCGACUUUUCUGGUCUGUAACUGACGCUGAGGCGCGAAAGCGUGGGGAGCAAACAGGAUUAGAUACCUGGUAGUCCACGCCGUAAACGAUGAGUGCUAAGUGUUAGAGGGUUCCCCUUUAGUGCUGCAGCUAACGCAUUAAGCACUCCGCCUGGGGAGUACGGGCCGCAUAGGCUGAAACUCAAAGGAAUUGACGGGGGCCGCACACGCGGGGAGCAUGUGGUUUAAUUCGAAGCAACGCGAAGAACCUUAC
Molecule: ribosomal RNA, 640 nt
Filed under: bacterium SC6-4
Lineage: Bacteria
Description: bacterial SSU rRNA
Rfam family: Bacterial small subunit ribosomal RNA
Source: RNAcentral